GGACAUUGGCAACUGAUCGCGACCCGCGUGAGGGAUGACGGCCUUCGGGUUGUAAACCUCUUUCAGUAGGGAAGAAGCGUAAGUGACGGUACCUGCAGAAGAAGCGCCGGCUAACUACGUGCCAGCAGCCACAGUAAUACG
RNAcentral lists this ribosomal RNA (141 nucleotides) under uncultured bacterium. Its description in RNAcentral is "partial 16S ribosomal RNA". It matches the Rfam family "Bacterial small subunit ribosomal RNA", at positions 359 to 527 of the family's 1533-position model. The record is from RNAcentral.